RNAcentral lists this ribosomal RNA (1138 nucleotides) under uncultured eukaryote. Its description in RNAcentral is "bacterial SSU rRNA". It matches the Rfam family "Eukaryotic small subunit ribosomal RNA", at positions 577 to 1674 of the family's 1831-position model. The record is from RNAcentral.
CGGUAAUUCCAGCUCCAUUAGUGUACAUUAAAGUUGUUGCGGUUAAAAAGCUCGUAGUUGGAUAUCUGAAUUAGUUAGCCUGACCCAUGUUAAGUCUUUGAUUUAGCUUGUGUUUGUCGGAGCUGACUCGUUCAUCUAUUUCAAGUAUACAUCAUGUUUUGGCUUUAUUGCUAGAAUGUGAUGGAACACUUGAAUCGUUUACUUUGAAUAAAGGAGUAUGUUUAAAGUAGGCUAUACACGUCAUUGUAUUUUUUAGCAUGGAAUAAUAAAUUAGGGCUUUGUGUUUCUUUUUUAUAGGUUACGAAUCUACAUGAGCAAUGAUUAAUUGGGCAGGUUGGGAGUGCUAAUAUUGAUUGGGAAGGAGUGAAACCCUAUGAUCCUUUCAAGAUUUCCAAAAGCGUAAGCAUUCACUAAGGCCUGUUUCUUUAAUCAAGAACGAAAGUUGGGGGAGCGAAGACGAUUAGAUACCGUCGUAGUCCCAACUGUAAACAAUAUCACCUCGGGAUAUGUCCCGUUGACAUUUUCUCUUGCGUUGCCAUGCACCGUUCGAGAAAUCAAAGGGUUCAGAUUCCGGGGGGAGUACAGUCGCAAGUCUGAAACUUAAAGGAAUUGACGGAAGGGCACCACCAGGUGUGGAGCCUGCGGCUUAAUUUGACUCAACACGGGACAACUUACCAGGACAGGACAUAGUAAGGAUUGACAGGUUAGCGAUUUUUCUUGAUUCUAUGGGUGGUGGUGCAUGGCCGUUCUUAGUUCGUGGAGUGAUUUGUCUGGUUAAUUCCGCUAACGAACGAUACCUUGACCUUUAAAUAGUGCAGCGUUUCUUAAAUUUAGAAUUUCAUCGUUCUAUUUUUUCAAAUGUGAUAUUGUACUUCUUAGAGGGACUACUGUUUGCAUAAACAAGGGAAGUUCAAGGCAAUAACAGGUCUGUGAUGCCCUUAGAUGUCCUGGGCUGCACGCGUGCUACAAUGGUUAGAACAACAAGUUACGUCCUUGGCCGAAAGGUCUGGGUAAUCUUUUAACUUUAACCGUACUGGGGAUCGAGUAUUGCAAUUUUUACUCGUGAACCAGGAAUAUCUAGUAAGCAUAUUCUAUUUUCCCAUGUUGAUUACGUCCCUGCCCUUUGUACACACCGCCC